RNAcentral lists this ribosomal RNA (406 nucleotides) under uncultured bacterium. RNAcentral's name for it is "partial 16S ribosomal RNA". It matches the Rfam family "Bacterial small subunit ribosomal RNA", at positions 28 to 526 of the family's 1533-position model. The record is from RNAcentral.
GACGAACGCUGGCGGCGUGCCUAAUACAUGCAAGUAGAACGAGUUGCGAACGGGUGAGUAACGCGUGGUAACCUGCCUGGUAGCGGGGGAUAACUAUUGGAAACGAUAGCUAAUACCGCAUACCAUCAGAUGUGCCCAGAUGGGGGUAGCUAGUAGGUGGGGUAACGGCUCACCUAGGCGACGAUCCCUAGCUGGUCUGAGAGGGUGACCAGCCACACUGGAACUGAGACACGGGCCAGACUCCUAAGGGAGGCAGCAGUGGGGAAUAUUGCACAAGGGGCGCAAGCCUGAUGAAGCCAUGACGCGUGUGUGAAGAAGGCCUUCGGGUUGUAAAGCACUUUCAGCGGGGAGGCGUUACCCGCAGAAGAAGCACCGGCUAACUCCGUGCCAGCAGCCGCGGUAAUUC